GCACGGACCGUCGCGACCUCGUGACUGUGAGGUCCUCUAUAUCCCACAGACUGGAAGGGCGGGAGGGAAGGGCAAAAGAAAGAGAUCAGCACUGGACCGCCUCCUGGCAUCCGAGAUGCACCAACUGGGCCGUUACAGCAGCCAGUAUUCAUCUGCAUCGUCCUUAAAGAGCUGUUCUGUUUACCACAGAUUAGUAGUUACUUAAGUUAUCCGGAGAACCAUACCCUCACGAAUACAGUGCUAGUGAAUUAUUCAACAAAUACAGAUUGAGGAUAUACUAUGUACCCAGCGGUUGACAACCGGAAGGACACGGGGAUCAGAGGCACCUGUUCUUGGGCCGCCAGUGACCAGGGCUGACAACUUGCCCAGACCACAAGACUCCCUGUUGAGAAAGCAAGCGGACUCACAGUUUUUCAGUGUCUCAGGGAGCCUGCAGCAGUGAUCCAGUUCCUUCAAAAG
This 459-nucleotide long non-coding RNA is filed under the name Homo sapiens (human). Its description in RNAcentral is "HSALNT0125283". Lineage: Eukaryota; Metazoa; Chordata; Mammalia; Primates; Hominidae. The record is from RNAcentral.